UGGGGAAUAUUGGACAAUGGGCGAAAGCCUGAUCCAGCCAUGCCGCGUGUGUGAAGAAGGUCUUCGGAUUGUAAAGUACCUUAAGUUGGGAGGAAGGGCAGUAAGCGAAUACCUUGCUGUUUUGACGCUACCGACAGAAUAAGCACCGGCUAACUCUGUGCCAGCAGCCGCGGUAAUACAGAAGGUGCAAGCGUUAAUCGGUAUUACUGGGCGUAAAGCGCGCGUAGGUGGUUCGUUAAGUUGAAUGUGAAAGCCCCGGGCUCAACCUGGGAGCUGCAUCCAAAACUGGCGAGCUAAAGUAGGGCAGAGGGUGGUGGAAUUUCCUGUGUGGCGGUGAAAUGCGUGGAUAUAGGAAGGAACACCAGUGGCGAAGGCGACCACCUGGGCUCAUACUAACACUGAGGUGCGAAAGCGUGGGGAGCAAACAGG
RNAcentral lists this ribosomal RNA (429 nucleotides) under Pseudomonadota bacterium. Its description in RNAcentral is "Proteobacteria bacterium partial 16S ribosomal RNA". It matches the Rfam family "Bacterial small subunit ribosomal RNA", at positions 355 to 776 of the family's 1533-position model. Lineage: Bacteria; Pseudomonadati; Pseudomonadota. The record is from RNAcentral.